Long non-coding RNA from Piliocolobus tephrosceles (Ugandan red Colobus), 594 nucleotides. RefSeq lists it as uncharacterized. The record is from RefSeq and is a predicted model, not a curated record. Lineage: Eukaryota; Metazoa; Chordata; Mammalia; Primates; Cercopithecidae. The transcript is spliced from 2 exons.
UGGCUGGGGCAGAAGUGAAAACAUCAGGAAAUGCGAAGGACUGUGCCUUGGAGGGCGAGCUGAUAACAGGCAUACAGGCUGGCCAGAGAAGUCAGAUAUGAUGGGCUACAGACCGUCAGCCAGCACUGUGCAGGAAGAUGUCAUGAAUCAGAAUAUGCAAACAGCCAAAUGAUGGACACAUCGGCUUAGAGCAUCGAGAGGCAGAACAUCGAGACUCUGACAAUGUUCAAUUCGACAUUCUACUUUUAGCCGUAUGGCCACAUGAUUUGAAAGUGAAAUUUUCAAAUGUAGAUCUGAGAUACGACUAUAGCUCAUCUCCAAGAAAGGCAUCACCAUUGCUGCAUUGAACAUGCACAGAGAUGAAACAGAGAUUGGCUUCUGAAGAUGACGUUUCUGCCCUGACAGUUUUAGAAGUGCCAUAGAAACCAGCGUGCAGUGAAGUUGACUGUUGUCAGGAUAGCCCUUAUCUAGCCUGUUACAACUCUGUGGCAUUGAAUAUUUACUGCUGAAUGGAUUCAGGGAAGCCAAACAUAAAUGUGUACUCAGUGUUUAAAAGGAAAUAAAAUAAGCAGAAUGAUUAUGGAAAAUAAGAAA